This 440-nucleotide ribosomal RNA is filed under the name uncultured bacterium. Its description in RNAcentral is "bacterial SSU rRNA". It matches the Rfam family "Bacterial small subunit ribosomal RNA", at positions 338 to 795 of the family's 1533-position model. The record is from RNAcentral.
CCUACGGGUGGCAGCAGUGGGGAAUAUUGCACAAUGGGGGAAACCCUGAUGCAGCAACGCCGAGUGAGCGAUGAAGGCCUUCGGGUCGUAAAGCUCUGUCCUAAGGGAAGAAUACUGACGGUACCUUAGGAGGAAGCCCCGUCUAACUACGUGCCAGCAGCCGCGGUAAUACGUAGGGGGCUAGCGUUAUCCGGAAUUACUGGGCGUAACGGGUGCGUAGGCGGCCCUUCAAGUCAGAGGUGAUAGGCUACGGCUCAACCGUAGUAAGCGUUUGAAACUGUAGGGCUUGAGUGCAGGAGAGGAGAGUGGAAUUCCCAGUGUAGCGGUGAAGUGCGUAGAUAUUGGGACGAACACCAGUUGCGAAGGCGGCUCAGUGGACUGUACCUGACGCUGAGGCACGACAGCGUGGGAACCGAACCGGAUUAGAUACCACUGUAGUC